CAAUAGCGUAUAUUUAAGUUGUUGCAGUUAAAAAGCUCGUAGUUGGAUUUCGGUUGAGAACGGCCGGUCCGCCGUUUGGUGUGCCCUGGCUGGUUUCAACUUCCUGUAGAGGACGUGCUCUGGCUUCACGGCUGGACGCGGAGUCUACGUGGUUACUUUGAAAAAAUUAGAGUGUUCAAAGCGGGCUUACGCUUGAAUAUUUCAGCAUGGAAUAACACUAUAGGACUCCUGUCCUAUUUCGUUGGUCUCGGGACGGGAGUAAUGAUUAAGAGGAACAGUUGGGGGCAUUCGUAUUUCAUUGUCAGAGGUGAAAUUCUUGGAUUUAUGAAAGACGAACUUCUGCGAAAGCAUUUGCCAAGGAUGUUUUCAUUAA
Molecule: ribosomal RNA, 373 nt
Filed under: uncultured eukaryote
Lineage: Eukaryota
Description: partial 18S ribosomal RNA
Rfam family: Eukaryotic small subunit ribosomal RNA
Source: RNAcentral